Molecule: ribosomal RNA, 360 nt
Filed under: Calanus glacialis
Lineage: Eukaryota; Metazoa; Arthropoda; Copepoda; Calanoida; Calanidae
Description: partial large subunit ribosomal RNA
Rfam family: Eukaryotic large subunit ribosomal RNA
Source: RNAcentral
GGAAAGAAACAACUGUGAUUCCCUUAGUAAUGGCGAAUGAAACGGGAACAGGGCAUCGCGGAACUGCAGGUCAUCUUGGCCUCGCGGAAUGUCGCGUUCGGGAGAGUCUUCUCGAGGACCGGACGGCCAGUCAAAGUCCAACUUGACAGUGGCCACUGCCCAUAGAGGGUGAUAGGCCCGUAAGGCGGCUGUCCGUUUUCGCUGACUUUUUCCCUAGAGUCGGGUUGCUUGGGAGUGCAGCCCAAAGUGCGAGGUAAACUCCUCGUAACCCUAAAUAUGACCCCGAGACCGAUAGCAAACAAGUACGGUGACGGAAGAUUGAAAAGAACUUUGAAGAGAGAGUUCAGUCAUAGCUGUUUC